UCAAAAUAGAAACCAUACUCACAAUUAAAUUAAAGUUAAACACAUUAUUAUAUAAAUUUAGUCAGUAACAUUUCUUGAAAUUAUAUAAGUCAAUCAAUAGCACAAAGCGAAACAUUCAAUACAUAACCCGUCGAUGGAUCCUCAGAUUCUAAAUGUUUUUAAAAAAGAAUAUUUACACGACCUUAAUUAUUUUGCUAUAAACCUCGUUAAGAUUCUCCGUAUCCUUCUGUGAAUUUAUGUUGUUAUUAAGUUUUUUAAUAUAAAACAUUUCGCUAACUCUCUCUUCUAGUGUUUUUCCGUAUGUAAAAUGUUAAAUUUUUUCCAAUCAAAGUCAUGUUCAAAUUCAAAUCGGUGUUUGCUUAUAACUGAAUGUGAACUAUAAUGCAAUUUUAUAUUAUUACAAUGCUCCUUUACCCGUGUACUACGAUGUCUUUUUAUUUUUCCUAUAUAAGUAGCGGAGCAAUUCUUACAAUCAAUCUUAUAGACAACAUUUGUUGCAUUGUCGUUAGAUAAAACAUCUUUGCCCACCUUUAUAAUGUUAUCCAGUUUUUUCGGUAAACUAUAAACAACAUUCAUAUCAAAUUUCCGUAAAGAAUGUGAAAUACUAUUGCUAAAAUUGUUCACAUAUGGUAUCGAAAUAUAAGGUGUUUUUAUCUGUGAUGUACAUAAAUUUUCAUCAUUACUAAUAGAACUUUUGUUAUAUUUUAAGAAAUUAAUUCUUUUAUACAAUAUAUAAAACGAUUGAUUAUGUCGAUGGGGAAGCAAUUAUUUCGUAAAAUAUUUUUAAUUAUCUAUAUGUUUUCUUCAUGAAACCGCCUAUCGGAUAAUAAUUGCGUGGUCCACUAAAUUAUAAAUUGUGUUAAUUUUUUAUUUAAAAGGGCGACUAGAAUGAAAAUUAAUGUAUCUGCCUGACCACGUAGGUUUUCUAUACCAAUUUGUUAUUAGUUUGUUAUCAUCCCGACACAAAGUAACAUUUAAGAAAAUUAGUGAUGAAUUACAUUCUAUGUCACAAGUGAAUUUUCAAACGCUCAUGAUAAUUAUUGAAUGUAGACAAAACCACAUCUGUUUUUUUAAUAGGUAUUAUGGCAAAUAUGUCAUCUACAUAUCUUGUGACUUGGCUUUUUGUGCCCGUCACAAGGGUGGACGCGCCCGGCCGGGAAGAGUUGGAGAGCGCUCCAAAAAUUUCGUGUAUUUUGCGGGCGAGCGGCGAACUCUUCGCCGGCUCGCCCCUACUCGGUAACGAAAGUUGAGGUGGUGGGCCAGGAGGAUUAGAUUGUUUUAAAAAAAAGAGGACCCCGAAGAAUUAAGAAGGGAAGACCAUGAUGCGGGAGGAACGGAGGUUGAGCGCCCGGCCCGGUGAGUAAUCGAAAGAAUAAAAUUAUACACGGUACCGAGUCGCAUAAGAAUAGGAUACUGCCAAAACGAUUUUUACAGCCUCGGGGAGUCAAUCACCAGCAAUCCGAAUAAGGGAAGGAAAGGCGCCUGCAUCCCUCCACGAGGAUGACUAUCCUGAGAGGCCCGCUGUCGCAUGUCGAGAGGACCUGGAGAUCGUCCGGGACUGAUCACCCCGGCAGGUCAAGGCCGUAACGAACAUCAUCCGGCGGCCGUACGAGGUGCAAACGGAGCAGCCGAGAACGGAGCUGCGACCUCGCGAGCGAAGGCGAGAAUUUAAAAGUGGCGGCAGGAAAUGCGCGACCAGCCACGGAAAGGGGAAAUCGAUUUGAGGAUCAAUUAUAGGCAAUGCCGCCGCGAAGCGUGGCAACUAAGCCAGAGUGACGCGCACUUCUCUUUCUCCCGGCGUAACCACCGACGUUCCGCCGACCCAAAUCGGAAUCACUGUUCGACGAGCUGGUGUCUCGAACGCGUCACGGACCAGUGACUUACAUCCUGCGGCGACAUCGAAAUAUUCCGUUCUACUAAUUUAGAUGUUUGCAUCUUUCCAUAAUUGAAUGAAAUCUUUUGUGAUCAAGACAAUGGUAUUUCUAAAUAAAUUGUUGAACGUACAAUCAGGCAAUUUGAAUCCGACCAGGCAACCUCCAUGUGUUUCAACACCCUGUAUAUAUUACGUGCAAUAAAAACAUCAGUUAUGUAAAGAACGAGCUACAUUGGGAACGAGUUUGCUCCUUUUUAUUAUGCAGAACAACAUUCUAUGUGCGUAAUGAUAAUGAUACGUGAUGCAAGUGCUAAUCGUGUAUGAAAAAUAACUUUUUUAUUUAUAUUGCUGACAGUUCAUUGAGUCAACUUAAAGAGAUUACACUAAUUUUUAUAAGUGUAUCAGUAAGUUCUCGAGAUUGAUCUACAAAUGUGAAAUAAAACAAAAUAAAUAUAACAAUAAAUUCUCAGUUGUCUAACAUAUGU
Nylanderia fulva is the source of this 2358-nucleotide non-coding RNA. Lineage: Eukaryota; Metazoa; Arthropoda; Insecta; Hymenoptera; Formicidae. The record is from RefSeq and is a predicted model, not a curated record.